AAAUAGCUCAGUUGGGUAGAACGUCAAGCUGAUAACCGUGAGAACACAAGUUCGAAUCUUGUCAGGUCC
Molecule: transfer RNA, 69 nt
Filed under: uncultured Collinsella sp.
Lineage: Bacteria; Bacillati; Actinomycetota; Coriobacteriia; Coriobacteriales; Coriobacteriaceae
Source: RNAcentral